This 398-nucleotide unclassified non-coding RNA is filed under the name Hevea brasiliensis (rubber tree). Lineage: Eukaryota; Viridiplantae; Streptophyta; Magnoliopsida; Malpighiales; Euphorbiaceae. The record is from RNAcentral.
UCUCUCAAUGUCAGUGGGACUAUGAGACAGCCAACCCAGAAUCUGGGCGCGCAGGACAAGAGGAAAUUCAUUAGGUUCUUUACCAAAAAGUUUGAAAAUAAUUCGAUCCGUACGACUCUGAGUGUCUCCACUAGAACUAGAAGGUGACUGGGCAGAUACUGAAUCUGAAUUUCCACUUGUCUGUGGUGGACUUGAUUGAUGUGAAUCUUGUUGUACCCAUGAAGGGCAAUCAAGGGAGCUAGUCCCGAUGUUUGUAGCAACUGGCGAUCUCUCUAUAUCUUCAGCACCAUCAUCNCAACAUAUAUGUCAUUCAAAUCAAAAUUGUUCAUCUUGACCUGCCCUGCAGUGCUGUCUCGAACUUCUGAAUAUGCUGGAUAGUUGCUCGGAAUGCUAGGUUU